Molecule: ribosomal RNA, 449 nt
Filed under: uncultured bacterium
Lineage: Bacteria
Description: bacterial SSU rRNA
Rfam family: Bacterial small subunit ribosomal RNA
Source: RNAcentral
GCCCAGACUCCUACGGGAGGCAGCAGUGGGGAAUAUUGCACAAUGGGGGGAACCCUGAUGCAGCGACGCCGCGUGAGUGAAGAAGUAUUUCGGUAUGUAAAGCUCUGUCAGCAGGGAAGAAAUUGACGGUACCUGAGUAAGAAGCUCCGGCUAAAUACGUGCCAGCAGCCGCGGUAAUACGUAUGGAGCAAGCGUUAUCCGGAUUUACUGGGUGUAAAGGGAGCGUAGGCGGCCUGCCAAGUCUGAUGUGAAAUACCGGGGCUCAACCCCGGGGCUGCAUUGGAAACUGUCAGGCUGGAGUGCAGGAGAGGUAAGUGGAAUUCCUAGUGUAGCGGUGAAAUGCGUAGAUAUUAGGAGGAACACCAGUGGCGAAGGCGGCGUACUGGACGGUAACUGACGUUGAGGCUCGAAAGCGUGGGGAGCAAACAGGAUUAGAUACCCCCGUAUAA